CUACGUGCCAGCAGCCGCGGUAAUACGGAGGGUGCGAGCGUUAAUCGGAAUAACUGGGCGUAAAGGGCACGCAGGCGGUGACUUAAGCAGGAUGUGAAAUCCCCGGGCUCAACCUGGGAACUGCGUUCUGAACUGGGUGACUAGAGUGUGUCAGAGGGAGGUAGAAUUCCACGUGUAGCAGUGAAAUGCGUAGAGAUGUGGAGGAAUACCGAUGGCGAAGGCAGCCUCCUGGGAUAACACUGACGUUCAUGCUCGAAAGCGUGGGUAGCAAACAGGAUUAGAUACCCUGGUAGUCCACGCCCUAAACGAUGUCAAUUAGCUGUUGGGCAACUUGAUUGCUUAGUAGCGUAGCUAACGCGUGAAAUUGACCGCCUGGGGAGUACGGUCGCAAGAUUAAAACUCAAAGGAAUUGACGGGGACCCGCACAAGCGGUGGAUGAUGUGGAUUAAUUCGAUGCAACGCGAAGAACCUUACCUGGUCUUGACAU
RNAcentral lists this ribosomal RNA (487 nucleotides) under uncultured bacterium. RNAcentral describes it as "bacterial SSU rRNA". It matches the Rfam family "Bacterial small subunit ribosomal RNA", at positions 501 to 987 of the family's 1533-position model. The record is from RNAcentral.